RNAcentral lists this ribosomal RNA (465 nucleotides) under uncultured Klebsiella sp. RNAcentral describes it as "bacterial SSU rRNA". It matches the Rfam family "Bacterial small subunit ribosomal RNA", at positions 338 to 795 of the family's 1533-position model. Lineage: Bacteria; Pseudomonadati; Pseudomonadota; Gammaproteobacteria; Enterobacterales; Enterobacteriaceae. The record is from RNAcentral.
CCUACGGGUGGCAGCAGUGGGGAAUAUUGCACAAUGGGCGCAAGCCUGAUGCAGCCAUGCCGCGUGUGUGAAGAAGGCCUUCGGGUUGUAAAGCACUUUCAGCGGGGAGGAAGGCGUUAAGGUUAAUAACCUUGUCGAUUGACGUUACCCGCAGAAGAAGCACCGGCUAACUCCGUGCCAGCAGCCGCGGUAAUACGGAGGGUGCAAGCGUUAAUCGGAAUUACUGGGCGUAAAGCGCACGCAGGCGGUCUGUCAAGUCGGAUGUGAAAUCCCCGGGCUCAACCUGGGAACUGCAUUCGAAACUGGCAGGCUAGAGUCUGGUAGAGGGGGGUAGAAUUCCAGGUGUAGCGGUGAAAUGCGUAGAGAGCUGGAGGAAUACCGGUGGCGAAGGCGGCCCCCUGGACAAAGACUGACGCUCAGGUGCGAAAGCGUGGGGAGCAAACAGGAUUAGAUACCCUUGUAGUC